This 90-nucleotide transfer RNA is filed under the name Alphaproteobacteria bacterium. RNAcentral describes it as "tRNA-Ser". It matches the Rfam family "tRNA". From Rfam's summary of the family: Transfer RNA (tRNA) molecules are approximately 80 nucleotides in length. Their secondary structure includes four short double-helical elements and three loops (D, anti-codon, and T loops). Further hydrogen bonds mediate the characteristic L-shaped molecular structure. tRNAs have two regions of fundamental functional importance: the anti-codon, which is responsible for specific mRNA codon recognition, and the 3' end, to which the tRNAs corresponding amino acid is attached (by aminoacyl-tRNA synthetases). tRNAs cope with the degeneracy of the genetic code in two manners: having more than one tRNA (with a specific anti-codon) for a particular amino acid; and 'wobble' base-pairing, i.e. permitting non-standard base-pairing at the 3rd anti-codon position. Lineage: Bacteria; Pseudomonadati; Pseudomonadota; Alphaproteobacteria. The record is from RNAcentral.
GGACAGGUGGCAGAGUGGUUGAAUGCGCUAGUCUCGAAAACUAGUAUGGGUGCAAGCCCAUCGAGGGUUCAAAUCCCUCCCUGUCCGCCA